ACCUCGGAUCAGUAGAUGCCCCC
Molecule: ribosomal RNA, 23 nt
Filed under: Phomopsis cf. phyllanthicola MY-2011
Lineage: Eukaryota; Fungi; Ascomycota; Sordariomycetes; Diaporthales; Diaporthaceae
Description: partial 28S large subunit ribosomal RNA
Source: RNAcentral